GGACUACCAGGGUAUCUAAUCCCGUUUGCUCCCCUAGCUUUCGCGCCUCAGCGUCAGAAGAGGUCCAGCACGUCGCUUUCGCCACCGGAGUUCCUUCCGAUAUCAACGCAUUUCACCGCUCCACCGGAAGUUCCACAUGCCCCUACCUCCCUCGAGACAGCCAGUAUCCACGGCAGUUUUCCGGUUGAGCCGAAAGAUUUCACCACAGACUUGGCUGCCCGCCUACGCGCCCUUUAAGCCCAGUGAUUCCGAACAACGUUCGCUCGGUUCGUCUUACCGCGGCGGCUGGCAC
RNAcentral lists this ribosomal RNA (292 nucleotides) under uncultured Planctomycetota bacterium. RNAcentral's name for it is "uncultured planctomycete partial 16S ribosomal RNA". The record is from RNAcentral. Lineage: Bacteria; Pseudomonadati; Planctomycetota.